This is a long non-coding RNA of Stomoxys calcitrans (stable fly), 370 nucleotides long. RefSeq lists it as uncharacterized. The record is from RefSeq and is a predicted model, not a curated record. NCBI's taxonomy places the organism in Eukaryota, Metazoa, Arthropoda, Insecta, Diptera, Muscidae. The transcript is spliced from 3 exons.
AGCACCGUACGCACUGGCGAAAGCGCGUGUAAAUGUAGCAGCGGUCGUCGAUAGCGAUUUAUGGACUUUUUUACGCAGCAGCAGCAGCAGACGGCGCGAGUUUAGAAUUUUGUUUUUGCAUUCCGUAACGGUUCAAGAUAUUUGAAUAAUUUCGUCGGUUUUUUUUUAUUUUAUUUUGGUGUUGUUUGAGUGUCUAUGAGUGUGUGCAUGUGUUAGUAGCAAGUGAUUAAAAGUGGAAUAGCAGCAAGAGAGAAAAAAAAAAUUAUAAAUGUCUUAAAAAAAUCUCAAAAAAAAAUAAAAUUAAUCCUCUUUAUGUCUUAAAAAUUAUUUGAUAAAAAAGGAAAAAUGAAAUCAGUAAACAAUUAUUGAA